This 543-nucleotide ribosomal RNA is filed under the name uncultured bacterium. RNAcentral's name for it is "bacterial SSU rRNA". It matches the Rfam family "Bacterial small subunit ribosomal RNA", at positions 777 to 1324 of the family's 1533-position model. The record is from RNAcentral.
AAUAGAUACCCCGGUAGUCCACGCCCUAAACGAUGCUCACUAGGUGUUGGGGAAGCGAUUCCUUGGUACCGUAGCUAACGCGUGAAGUGAGCCGCCUGGGGAGUACGGCCGCAAGGUUAAAACUCAAAGGAAUUGACGGGGACCCGCACAAGCGGUGGAUGAUGUGGAUUAAUUCGAUGCAACGCGAACAACCUUACCUACCCUUGACAUGUCCGGAAGCCUGCUGAAAGGUGGGUGUGCUCGAAAGAGAACCGGAACACAGGUGCUGCAUGGCUGUCGUCAGCUCGUGUCGUGAGAUGUUGGGUUAAGUCCCGCAACGAGCGCAACCCUUGUCCCUAAUUGCUACGCAAGGGCACUCUAGGGAGACUGCCGGUGACAAACCGGAGGAAGGUGGGGAUGACGUCAAGUCCUCAUGGCCCUUAUGGGUAGGGCUUCACACGUCAUACAAUGGACGGUACAGAGGGUUGCCAACCCGGCGAGGGGGAGCCAAUCCCAGAAAGCCGUUCGUAGUCCGGAUCGCAGUCUGCAACUCGACUGCGUGAA